AUGGAAACAGACUGUUUAGAGGUAGUCAACCUCUGGACCUCGGGCCACAAUUCAAGGUCAAUUGUGGCACCUAUCUUUGAUGAAAUUAGGGAAAGAUCUACUUAUUUUGCCUCCUUUUCGGUUCAUCAUGUUAUGAGGGAUGCUAAUGUUCCAGCAGAUAUAUGUGCUAAAUAUGCUACUAGUCUUAGUAGUUCAGAGUGUUGGAUAGAGGAAAGUCCAGGCUUCCUCGUGAGUAGCCUUGUGGCUGAUUGUAACCGAAUUUCCAUUAAGCAAUAA
Molecule: ribosomal RNA, 276 nt
Filed under: Triticum aestivum (bread wheat)
Lineage: Eukaryota; Viridiplantae; Streptophyta; Magnoliopsida; Poales; Poaceae
Description: partial small subunit ribosomal RNA
Source: RNAcentral